Molecule: ribosomal RNA, 449 nt
Filed under: uncultured bacterium
Lineage: Bacteria
Description: partial 16S ribosomal RNA
Rfam family: Bacterial small subunit ribosomal RNA
Source: RNAcentral
AACGAACGCUGGCGGCAUGCCUAACACAUGCAAGUCGAACGAAGCCUUCGGGCUUAGUGGCGCACGGGGUCGCAACGCGUGGGAAUCUGCCCUUGGGUGCGGAAUAACAGUUAGAAAUGACAGCUAAUACCGGAUGAUGUCUUCGGACCAAAGAUUUAUCGCCCAAGGAUGAGCCCGCGUAGGAAUAGGUAGUUGGUGGGGGAAGGGCACACCAAGACGACGAUCCUUAGCUGGUCUGAGAGGAUGAUCAGCCACACUGGGACUGGGACACGGCCCAGACUCUUGCGGGAGGCGGCAGUGGGGAAUAUUGGACAAUGGGCGAAAGCCUGAUCCAGCAAUGCCGCGUGAGUGAUGAAGGCCUUAGGGUUGUAAAGCUCUUUUACCAGGGAUGAUAAUGACAGUACCUGGAGAAUAAGCUCCGGCUAACUCCGUGCCAGCCGCCGCCGUAA